GGAUUGAGAACGUCAUCAUGUGCACAUCGGAUGCUGUGCUAAGGAAGAAAGCUUUUGAUGUACUAGAAAGGAUUAGUGUUUUUUACUUAAGAUGUCUGCUCUUGCAUCACUAAAUAGCAAGUGUCGCUCAAGAGGAAAUUGAAGCAGCGGAAGAGCUUUUGAAGCAUAGAGCAUAAGUGGAUACAGAAUGUGGACAGGGCUCCCAACAUUUCACUAGGACAAAAUGUCCGGACGAGGAUAAAGCAAUUCUCUUUGAUGAAUAAGUUCAAGAAGAAAGUUCUCAGAGUAGUAGCAGACAAUUUGCCUGAUGAGCAAGUGGAUCAUAUCAAAGAGAUGUUCGACGUGAUGGACACCAA
Eucalyptus grandis is the source of this 356-nucleotide long non-coding RNA. RefSeq lists it as uncharacterized. The record is from RefSeq and is a predicted model, not a curated record. The transcript is spliced from 3 exons. Lineage: Eukaryota; Viridiplantae; Streptophyta; Magnoliopsida; Myrtales; Myrtaceae.